RNAcentral lists this ribosomal RNA (584 nucleotides) under uncultured fungus. RNAcentral describes it as "eukaryotic LSU rRNA". It matches the Rfam family "Eukaryotic large subunit ribosomal RNA", at positions 40 to 647 of the family's 3401-position model. Lineage: Eukaryota; Fungi. The record is from RNAcentral.
AUAUCAAUAAGCGGAGGAAAAGAAACCAACAGGGAUUGCCCUAGUAACGGCGAGUGAAGCGGCAACAGCUCAAAUUUGAAAUCUGGCUUCGGCCCGAGUUGUAAUUUGCAGAGGAAGCUUUGGGCGCGGCACCGACCGAGUCCCCUGGAACGGGGCGCCAUAGAGGGUGAGAGCCCCGUAUGGUCGGACGCCUAGCCUGUGUAAAGCUCCUUCGACGAGUCGAGUAGUUUGGGAAUGCUGCUCAAAAUGGGAGGUAAAUUUCUUCUAAAGCUAAAUACCGGCCAGAGACCGAUAGCGCACAAGUAGAGUGAUCGAAAGAUGAAAAGCACUUUGAAAAGAGGGUUAAAUAGCACGUGAAAUUGUUGAAAGGGAAGCGCUUGUGACCAGACUUGAGCGCGGCGGUUCCCCUGGCCUUUUGGCCAGGCUACUCCGUCGUGUCCAGGCCAACAUCGGUUCUGAGGGUCGGUCAAAGGCUCUGGGAAUGUAUCUACCCACGGGUAGACUUAUAGACCAGGGUGUCAUGCGGCCUCUCGGGACCGAGGAACGCGCUUCGGCUCGGAUGUUGGCGUAAUGGUUGUCAGCGA